GAUCCUGGCUCAGGAUGAACGCUGGCGGCGUGCUUAACACAUGCAAGUCGAACGAAGCACUUUAAUUGAUUUCUUCGGAAUGAAGUUUUUGUGACUGAGUGGCGGACGGGUGAGUAACGCGUGGGUAACCUGCCUCAUACAGGGGGAUAACAGUUGGAAACGACUGCUAAUACCGCAUAAGCGCACAGGAUUGCAUGAUCCAGUGUAGAAAACUCCGGUGUAUGAGAUGGACCGCG
Molecule: ribosomal RNA, 236 nt
Filed under: uncultured bacterium
Lineage: Bacteria
Description: partial 16S ribosomal RNA
Rfam family: Bacterial small subunit ribosomal RNA
Source: RNAcentral